AACCCGAGAGAGUCCGGGCGUUCCCCGUUCGGGGGACAGGGUGACGAGGUGGUGCAGUGGUUGUCGUCAGCUCGUGUCGUGAGAUGUUGGGUUAAGUCCCGCAACGAGCGCAACCCUCGACCUUAGUUGCCAGCAUUCAGUUGGGCACUCUAAGGUGACUGCCGGCUAAAAGUCGGAGGAAGGUGGGGAUGACGUCAAAUCAUCAUGCCCCUUAUGACCUGGGCUACACACGUGCUACAAUGGUUGGUACAACGAGUUGCGAGUCGGUGACGGCGAGCUAAUCUCUUAAAGCCAAAUCUCAGUUCGGAUUGUAGGCUGCAACUCGCCUACAUGAAGUCGGAAUCGCUAGUAAUCGCGGAUCAGCACGCCGCGGUGAAUACGUUCCCGGGCCUU
RNAcentral lists this ribosomal RNA (393 nucleotides) under uncultured Anoxybacillus sp. RNAcentral's name for it is "bacterial SSU rRNA". It matches the Rfam family "Bacterial small subunit ribosomal RNA", at positions 994 to 1382 of the family's 1533-position model. Lineage: Bacteria; Bacillati; Bacillota; Bacilli; Caryophanales; Anoxybacillaceae. The record is from RNAcentral.